This 238-nucleotide ribosomal RNA is filed under the name uncultured bacterium. Its description in RNAcentral is "partial 16S ribosomal RNA". It matches the Rfam family "Bacterial small subunit ribosomal RNA", at positions 92 to 334 of the family's 1533-position model. The record is from RNAcentral.
CGGGUGGCGGACGGGUGAGUAAUGUCUGGGAAACUGCCUGAUGGAGGGGGAUAACUACUGGAAACGGUAGCUAAUACCGCAUAACGUCGCAAGACCAAAGAGGGGACCUUCGGGCCUCUUGCCAUCGGAUGUGCCCAGAUGGGAUUAGCUAGUAGGUGGGGUAACGGCUCACCUAGGCGACGAUCCCUAGCUGGUCUGAGAGGAUGACCAGCCACACUGGAACUGAGACACGGUCCAG